CCUAUUUUAUAAAUCCUGUUAACAUUUCACGGUUUAAUUUCAGAUCGUGAGAACCAGUCUGUCCUGAUUACUGGAGAAUCUGGUGCAGGAAAGACUGUGAACACAAAACGUGUCAUUCAGUACUUUGCAACUGUAGCGAUGUCUGGUGCAAAGAAGGCAGAGCCUGUCCCUGGAAAAAUGCAGGGAUCACUGGAGGACCAGAUCAUUGCAGCCAACCCUCUGCUGGAGGCUUAUGGUAAUGCCAAGACUAUAA
This is a long non-coding RNA of Sinocyclocheilus anshuiensis, 253 nucleotides long. RefSeq lists it as uncharacterized. Lineage: Eukaryota; Metazoa; Chordata; Actinopteri; Cypriniformes; Cyprinidae. The transcript is spliced from 3 exons. The record is from RefSeq and is a predicted model, not a curated record.